Molecule: long non-coding RNA, 585 nt
Organism: Leptonychotes weddellii (Weddell seal)
Lineage: Eukaryota; Metazoa; Chordata; Mammalia; Carnivora; Phocidae
Source: RefSeq, a predicted model, not a curated record
UCAGCCUUUCCGGCAUCUGAACGAACGACUUACACUGGGACUGCAGUGCAGCUGGCGAGCGAAGUAAAAAUGCGAGCUGAAGUGGCUGGCUUUUGGUGUGUCAUUGAAAACCCCAGGCUGUAGCACCCGGGAAGAUUCUCCAACACGCCUAAUUAUGAGGUCUCUUCCCUUUGUGUGGGACUUCACAGUGCCAGUCAUUAAGAUCACUUGCUCUGGAGGAAGCCAUCUGCUAUGUCAUGAGGACAGUUUAGUGACCUAUGAAGAGGCCCAUGUGGUGAAACUGAGGCCCCCUGCCAACAGCUGGACCAGAACUGAGGCCUUUUGUCAAGAGUUAUGUGAGUAAGCCAUCCUGGAAGCAGAUUCAACAGCCCUAGUCAAGCCUUUGGAUGACACAGCCCUGCCUGACACCUUGAUUUGAGCCUUAGGAGACCCUGAGACAGAACCUAUUCUUCUAGGCUGCUUCUUGGACUUCUGACCCUCAGAAAUUGUACUAGAGGAUACAUGUUUAUUGCUUUAAGUUACUUUAAUUUUAAGUCACUUUAAUUUUUUUUUUCACAUUGCAAUAAACAACUAAUAUGUCUACCA